Long non-coding RNA from Ostrinia nubilalis (European corn borer), 664 nucleotides. RefSeq lists it as uncharacterized. The transcript is spliced from 3 exons. The record is from RefSeq and is a predicted model, not a curated record. Lineage: Eukaryota; Metazoa; Arthropoda; Insecta; Lepidoptera; Crambidae.
UGGACAAUACGCCCCCAUUAAAUUUAUAGAAUUAUUACGCGAAGUUUGGAUACUAAUGGCUAAAUUCUGUAUUUUAUCAUUACUGUUAGUGGAAAUUACUGUACACUUAAUAGAAUUUUUACAAAGAAUGGCAACACCACCAUAACCCGUGUCACUGUCUCUACGAAAUAUUUGAUAACCUCUAAAUCUAAUUCUGUCAGAAGAUUUCAGCCAAGUUUCAUUUAAAACACAAAUAUCAACAUCUAAAUUAACUAAAAGUUGUGAUAAAAUAGGAAUUUUGGGUUUUAAACUCUGACAAAUCUUAGCUACAGCAACGUGUUCUCCUUUGCAAUUGAUACACAAAGGGAGUAUGCAUAGACCAUAACUUACUUGCUCAGGUAGAACAUUACCAGCAAAGGUGACUGAGACGGUCUGCAAAGGGACGACACCUUCAGGGGUCCUCUUGGUGAAUCUUCUCACAGCCAAGAUCUCCUGCGAACUGAUCAAUUUGUCAAAAAGAUGCCGGUUGCUCAAUUCAGUUGGAAUGAAUUUGAUUACUCCUGUUCGCUCUGAGUUGGAGGCAGGAAUGAAUGCCUUGAUUUCGUGAGAUGAUAGAAAGGCCGAAUUAGACAGUAAAGAGUUGGCGUUUUUCGGGUUAUCGAAAUAUACAGCAUACCGCAAUGCA